UGGUUACCUCUGUUUUGUAGCUAACGCGUUAAGCACUCCGCCUGGGGACUACGGUCGCAAGACUAAAACUCAAAGGAAUUGACGGGGACCCGCACAAGCGGUGGAGCAUGUGGUUUAAUUCGAUGCAACGCGAAAAACCUUACCACUUCUUGACAUGGAGGCUAGAUCCUUCUUAACAGAAGGGCGCAGUUCGGCUGGGCCUCGCACAGGUGCUGCAUGGCUGUCGUCAGCUCGUGUCGUGAGAUGUUGGGUUAAGUCCCGCAACGAGCGCAACCCUCAUCCUUAGUUACCAGCGGGUAAUGCCGGGCACUUUAAGGAAACUGCCAGUGAUAAACUGGAGGAAGGUGGGGAUGAUGUCAAGUCAGCACGGCCCUUAUGGGGUGGGCUACACACGUGCUACAAUGGCGACUACAAUAGGUUGCAUGGUCGCAAGAA
RNAcentral lists this ribosomal RNA (435 nucleotides) under uncultured Anaplasma sp. Its description in RNAcentral is "bacterial SSU rRNA". It matches the Rfam family "Bacterial small subunit ribosomal RNA", at positions 832 to 1263 of the family's 1533-position model. Lineage: Bacteria; Pseudomonadati; Pseudomonadota; Alphaproteobacteria; Rickettsiales; Anaplasmataceae. The record is from RNAcentral.